ACAGAGGGCCGGCCGCUGGCAACAUCGGUCCAAUCCUUAAAGUCAUCCUCAGUUCGGACUGGGGUCUGCAACCCGACCCCACGAAGCUGGAUUCGCUAGUAAUCGCGCAUCAGCCAUGGCGCGGUGAAUACGUUCCCGGGCCUUGUACACACCGCCCGUCAAGCCAUGAAAGCCGGGGGCGCCUGAAGUCCGUGACCGCGAGGGUCGGCCUAGGGUGAAACCGGUGAUUGGGGCUAAGUCGUAACAAGGUAAC
Molecule: ribosomal RNA, 253 nt
Filed under: uncultured bacterium
Lineage: Bacteria
Description: partial 16S ribosomal RNA
Rfam family: Bacterial small subunit ribosomal RNA
Source: RNAcentral